AUUGAACGCUGGCGGCAUGCUUUACACAUGCAAGUCGAACGGGCUUGGGGGCUUGCUCCCAAGUUAGUGGCGAACGGGUGAGUAAUACAUCGGAACGUACCGUGUAGUGGGGGAUAACGUAGCGAAAGUUACGCUAAUACCGCAUACAAUCUACGGAUGAAAGCAGGGGGACCUUCGGGCCUUGUGCUAUACGAGCGGCCGAUGUCUGAUUAGCUAGUUGGUGAGGUAAAGGCUCACCAAGGCGACGAUCAGUAGCGGGUCUGAGAGGAUGAUCCGCCACACUGGGACUGAGACACGGCCCAGACUCCUACGGGAGGCAGCAGUGGGGAAUUUUGGACAAUGGGCGAAAGCCUGAUCCAGCCAUGCCGCGUGUCUGAAGAAGGCCUUCGGGUUGUAAAGGACUUUAUCUGUGACGAAUAUGACGGUAGCAGAUGAAUAAGGAUCGGCUAACUCCGUGCCAGCAGCCGCGGUAAU
This 474-nucleotide ribosomal RNA is filed under the name uncultured bacterium. Its description in RNAcentral is "bacterial SSU rRNA". It matches the Rfam family "Bacterial small subunit ribosomal RNA", at positions 30 to 524 of the family's 1533-position model. The record is from RNAcentral.